Molecule: ribosomal RNA, 1297 nt
Filed under: uncultured Prochlorococcus sp.
Lineage: Bacteria; Bacillati; Cyanobacteriota; Cyanophyceae; Synechococcales; Prochlorococcaceae
Description: bacterial SSU rRNA
Rfam family: Bacterial small subunit ribosomal RNA
Source: RNAcentral
CGCCUGAGGAUGAGCUCGCGUCUGAUUAGCUAGUUGGUGAGGUAAUGGCUCACCAAGGCUUCGAUCAGUAGCUGGUCUGAGAGGAUGAUCAGCCACACUGGGACUGAGACACGGCCCAGACUCCUACGGGAGGCAGCAGUGGGGAAUUUUCCGCAAUGGGCGAAAGCCUGACGGAGCAACGCCGCGUGAGGGACGAAGGCCUCUGGGCUGUAAACCUCUUUUCUCAAGGAAGAAGAUAUGACGGUACUUGAGGAAUAAGCCACGGCUAAUUCCGUGCCAGCAGCCGCGGUAAUACGGGAGUGGCAAGCGUUAUCCGGAAUUAUUGGGCGUAAAGCGUCCGCAGGCGGCUUUUCAAGUCUGCUGUUAAAACGUGGAGCUUAACUCCAUCAUGGCAGUGGAAACUGAAAGGCUUGAGUAUGGUAGGGGCAGAGGGAAUUCCCGGUGUAGCGGUGAAAUGCGUAGAUAUCGGGAAGAACACCAGUGGCGAAGGCGCUCUGCUGGGCCAUUACUGACGCUCAUGGACGAAAGCCAGGGGAGCGAAAGGGAUUAGAUACCCCUGUAGUCCUGGCCGUAAACGAUGAACACUAGGUGUCGGGGGAAUCGACCCCUUCGGUGUCGUAGCUAACGCGUUAAGUGUUCCGCCUGGGGAGUACGCACGCAAGUGUGAAACUCAAAGGAAUUGACGGGGGCCCGCACAAGCGGUGGAGUAUGUGGUUUAAUUCGAUGCAACGCGAAGAACCUUACCAGGGUUUGACAUCCUGCGAACCUCUUAGAAAUUUGAGGGUGCCUUCGGGAAUGCAGUGACAGGUGGUGCAUGGCUGUCGUCAGCUCGUGUCGUGAGAUGUUGGGUUAAGUCCCGCAACGAGCGCAACCCACGUUUUUAGUUGCCAGCAUUUAGUUGGGCACUCUAGAAAGACCGCCGGUGAUAAACCGGAGGAAGGUGUGGAUGACGUCAAGUCAUCAUGCCCCUUACACCCUGGGCUACACACGUACUACAAUGCUACGGACAAAGGGCAGCAAACUCGCGAGAGCUAGCAAAUCCCAUAAACCGUGGCUCAGUUCAGAUCGUAGGCUGCAACUCGCCUACGUGAAGUAGGAAUCGCUAGUAAUCGCAGGUCAGCAUACUGCGGUGAAUACGUUCCCGGGCCUUGUACACACCGCCCGUCACACCAUGGAAGUUGGCCAUGCCCGAAGUCGUUACUCCAACCCUUGUGGAGGAGGACGCCGAAGGUGGGGCUAAUGACUGGGGUGAAGUCGUAACAAGGUAGCCGUACCGGAAGGUGCGGCUGGAUCACCU